RNAcentral lists this transfer RNA (66 nucleotides) under Felis catus (domestic cat). RNAcentral also lists the same sequence under 1 other name. The record is from Rfam by way of RNAcentral. Lineage: Eukaryota; Metazoa; Chordata; Mammalia; Carnivora; Felidae.
ACCUGGGUGGCUCAGUUGGUUGAGCACCUGACUCUUGAUUUCGGCUCAGGUUGUGAUCCCCAGGUC